UGUCGAUGAAGAGCGCAGCCAACUGUGUGAAUUAAUGUGAACUGCAUACUGCUUUGAACAUCGACAUCUUGAACGC
This 76-nucleotide ribosomal RNA is filed under the name Paragonimus skrjabini miyazakii. RNAcentral describes it as "Paragonimus miyazakii partial 5.8S ribosomal RNA". It matches the Rfam family "5.8S ribosomal RNA", at positions 33 to 107 of the family's 154-position model. From Rfam's summary of the family: 5.8S ribosomal RNA (5.8S rRNA) is a component of the large subunit of the eukaryotic ribosome. It is transcribed by RNA polymerase I as part of the 45S precursor that also contains 18S and 28S rRNA. Functionally, it is thought that 5.8S rRNA may be involved in ribosome translocation. Lineage: Eukaryota; Metazoa; Platyhelminthes; Trematoda; Plagiorchiida; Troglotrematidae. The record is from RNAcentral. RNAcentral also lists the same sequence under 5 other names.